Molecule: long non-coding RNA, 3707 nt
Filed under: Homo sapiens (human)
Lineage: Eukaryota; Metazoa; Chordata; Mammalia; Primates; Hominidae
Description: non-protein coding LINC01013:22
Source: RNAcentral
AAAUUCUCACCUAAAGUUGAUACUAAUAUUACAAUAACUCUCUUGUGCCCUAUUUUGGUGUUUUAAACUUCUUUGCUGUACAUUUAAGAAAAUCAGAAUUUCAGUAGACUCCUCGUGCAGUCUGAGGAGGCAGUUUCCUAUCUGGUUUGACUUAAGGGGCUGCAGAAGACAUUCUUAUCCCACAUAUUUCUUCUGCUGAUCAGUCAGCAACUGAAAUUCCAACUAAUGGAUUCCAUUCUUCCAGUUAAGACAUCAUCUCCAGAAAACUGUGCUAGUUGGCAUCCAGCAGUGCCCAAGUAUUAUUUAACCCACUAGAACCUGUGACUGCAUCAGCUUUAUAUCCUGGACCUCAGCCUGGAACAAAGGAGAGCUACACUUGGAUACUAAACACAAGUGGUCUGGAUAGAUUAUGCUGGGAAAAGAAGCCUGGAGCAGGCAGUACAGUGGGAGAACAAGACAGAAGUGCUUGCCUUGGUGAUCCAAAAAAGGCAGGAUCCGGCCGGGGGCAAGGUGAUUAUUCUGUCUGAUGAGGAGAAUAAGAGCCAGUUUGUGGUAUUGACAGAAGAAUGAAAGUAAAGUCUUGAAAGAUGGGAAGAUCAGGAGCAGUCUGGAGUCAUGGUAUAUGAAUGAACUAGUGAGAGUGGGCACAAAGUCUGAAGAUCUUUGUAGUGCAGCUAAUGUCUAAGGGAGAAUAUACCUACCCUAGAAGAGACAUUAAACAACCAGGUAAUUGGAGUAGACAAAGUGUCAGCCAGUCAAUAUCAGCCAUACUCUGUCAUCAGAGACUUCAGUGUUUGGACAAUAAGCACAUGAACAGAGUAAGCAUGGUGUAAGGGAUGCAGGUUUUGCAUGGGCCCCACCAAUUUACUGAAGUUGUUAUAACUUCUGUCACUGCCAAAUGUCCCAGAAGUAGCAACAGAGACCAACACUAAGCCCCCAAUACAGCACUAUCUCUUCAGGAGAUCAACCAGCCAACCUGGUGGCAAGUUAAAUUCAUUGGACUUCUUCCAUCCUCAAAGGAUGGAAGCAUUAAUUCAUUUCGAAUUAAUGCUUUUUGAAUUUAUACAUAUUCCAGGUAUGGUCUGUGUUUUAUGUCAAAGAACCUCAAACAGCACCAUUAGCCGUGGGAUUGCAGAGAGUUUAGUCCAUCAACAGGAGAUCUCAUAUAGCAUUGCCUCACACUAACACAGUGGUUCUUAACCAUGGGCAAUUCCUUAUCUCCCAUAUCCCACCCCCAAGACCUUUGGCAAUGUCUGGAGACAUUUGUGAUUGUCGGAAACGGGAGGAUAUUACUGACAUCUAGUGGCUAGAGAGUUGCUGCUAAAUAUCCUGUAGUGGACAGGACAGCCUCCCUCAAUAAAUAAUCCACCCCAAAAUGUCAAUAUGCCACUGUUCAGAAAUUCUGGACUAAGAGCAACCUCUAUUCUGUUUUCCAUAAUGGCUGUAUUGAUGUACAUUGCUGUAAACAGUGUAAAAGUAUUUGCUUUUCUCCACAUCCUCACUAAUACUUGUCUCUUUUUUUGAUACACAUCCUAAAAGGUGUGAGCUGAUAUGUCAUUGUGGUUUUAAUUUGCAUCUCCCUGGUAAUUAGUGAUGUUGAGUAUUACUUGUCAACCAUUUGUAUCUCUCUUUUGAGGAAUGUCUACUAAGGUUCUUUGCCCAUUUUUUAAUCAGAUUUUUUUCUUGCUGUUGAGUUGGGUCCCUUAUAUACUUUUGAUAUUAACUCCUUAUCAGAUAUGUAGUUUACAAAUAUUUACUUCUAUUCCAUAGGUUGUCUCUUCAUUCUGUUGAUUGUUUCCUUUGUUGUAAAAGAAACUCACUUUACAGGAAAAGAGGUGCAACAGUGGCUGGAUGAUUAUAAGAUCGACUGUUCCUAUUAAAAACUACACCAUCCAAAAGAGGCUGCCAUUGAAGAGCAAUAAAGUAGUUCAUAGAAGGCAUAGGUGAGGCAGAAGCUUGAAAAUGAUACCAUAUAAGGAUAAGAAAUCAUAUUCCAAGAUACAGUCUAUACUCAAGUCUCAUGACCAUUGUAUGGUACUGUGCUCCAUUAUUUAGAUAUGUGGUGCUCCAUUGGUUACACAUGGUGGCAGGCAUGAAGAGUUGAAAAUAGCAAUAUGGCCAUCUUCACAAUAUUGAUUUUUCCUAUCCAUGAGCAUGGAAUUUUUUUCCAUUUGUUUGUGUCCUCUCUUACUUCCUUGAGCAGUGGUUUGUUGUUGUCCUUGAAGAGGUCCUUCACAUCUCUUGUAAGUUGUAUUCUUAGGUAUUUUAUUCUCUUUGUAGCAAUUGUAAAUGGGAAUUCACUCAUGAUUUGGCUCUGCUUGUCUAUUGUUGGUGUAUAGGAAUGCUUGUGAUUUUUGCAUGUUGAUUUUGUAUCCUGAUACUUUUCUGAAGUUGCUUAUCAGCUUAAGGAGUUUUGGGGCAGAACCACAAUGAGAUACCAUCUCACGCCAGUUAGAAUGGCGAUUAUUAAAAAGUCAGGAAACAACAGAUGCUGGCAAGGCUGUGGAGAAAUAGGAAUGCUUUUACACUGUCGGUGGGAAUGUAAAUUAGUUCAACCAUUGUGGAAGACAGUGUGGUGAUUCCUCAAGGAUCUAGAACCAGAAAUACCAUUUGACCCAGCAAUCCCAUUACUGGGUAUAUACCCAAAGGAUUAUAAAUCAUUCUACUAUAAAUACACAUGCACACAUAUAUUUAUUGAAGCACUAUUUACAACAGCAAAAACUUAGAACCAACCCAAAUGCCUAUCAAGGAUAGCCUGGAUAAAGAAAAUGUGGCAAAUAUACCCCAGGGAAUACUAUGAAGCCAUAAAAAACGAUGAGCUCAUGUCCUUUGCAGGGACAUUGAUGAAGCCGGAAGCCAUUAUUCCCAGCAAACCAACACGGGAACAGAAAACUAACCAUUGCAUGUUCUCACUCAUAAAUGGGAGUUGAAAAAUGAGAACACAUGGACACAGGGAAGGGAACACCACACACCGGGGCCUGUUGGGGGGUGGGGCAUAAGGGGAGGGAGAGCAUUAGGACAAAUACCUAAAGCAUGCAGGGCUUAAAACCUAGAUGACAGGUUGAUAGGUGCAGCAAACAACCAUGGCACAUGUAUACCUAUGUAGCAAACCUGCACAUUCUGCACAUGCAUCCCAGAACUAAAAUAAAGUAACAUUUUUUAAAAAAAGAAAAUAGCAAUGACACAUAGGGAGUUUCUGCUUCCUUUUUCUGAAAUUCUGAACUCCAUGUGUUUAGUGGUCUUCGUUCCUACCAUGGGGAAUAUCUAUCAGUGAAACAUAAGCUAUGAUUUUGGCCUGGGCACUUCAGACUCCAUAUGCCAAGGGACAAGUUGGCAAGGGGGGAAUACCAUAUUGAUAGAAGCAAUUGAGCUGAUCAUCAGGAGAAAGGCUGUUAUGACACACUGGGACAGGGGAGGAACAUAUUUGGUACUUGAUUAUCUCAUGGCAAUUCUUUGCCCAGUUUUCAUGAUAAAUUGACAAAUACAGUAGCCACAAUCUAAUAAGGGCUUGAGGACCAGAUGUUUAGACAAUCAGAGAUAUGGGUUUGGGUCAUCCAACCAGGUAAGCCACCAAGACCAGGUGCUAGCUGUGGGAGAAGUGAUUCUAGGAUAGAGUGUAGAGGAAGAGGACAAUAAAUUAUCACAGAUGUAGCCUCAAGCCCAACUGCAUCAAUGAGACAUAGCAUUUCUCCAUUAACUUUCCCCUA